GAGGGCGGGCAGUAUUAAAAAUGGGCUGCGGGCUAUACAUGCAAGUCGAGCGGAUUGAUGGGAGCUUGCUCCCUGAUAUCAGCGGCGGACGGGUGAGUAACACGUGGGUAACCUGCCUGUAAGACUGGGAUAACUCCGGGAAACCGGGGCUAAUACCGGAUAACUCAUUUCCUCGCAUGAGGAAAUGUUGAAAGGUGGCUUUUAGCUACCACUUACAGAUGGACCCGCGGCGCAUUAGCUAGUUGGUGAGGUAACGGCUCACCAAGGCAACGAUGCGUAGCCGACCUGAGAGGGUGAUCGGCCACACUGGGACUGAAACACGGCCCAAACUCCUACGGGAGGCAGCAGUAGGGAAUCUUCCGCAAUGGACAAAAGUCUGACGGAGCAACGCCGCGUGAGUGAUGAAGGUUUUCGGAUCGUAAAGCUCUGUUGUUAGGGAAGAACAAGUGCCGUUCGAAUAGGGCGGCACCUUGACGGUACCUAACCAAAAAGCCACGGCUAACUACGUGCCAGCAGCCGCGGUAAUACGUAGGUGGCAAGCGUUGUCCGGAAUUAUUGGGCGUAAAGCGCGCGCAGGUGGUUCCUUAAGUCUGAUGUGAAAGCCCACGGCUCAACCGUGAAGGGUCAUUGGAAACUGGGGAACUUGAGUGCAGAAGAGGA
RNAcentral lists this ribosomal RNA (660 nucleotides) under Bacillus sp. JSM 081014. RNAcentral describes it as "bacterial SSU rRNA". It matches the Rfam family "Bacterial small subunit ribosomal RNA", at positions 1 to 658 of the family's 1533-position model. Lineage: Bacteria; Bacillati; Bacillota; Bacilli; Caryophanales; Bacillaceae. The record is from RNAcentral.